AUUGAACGCUGGCGGCAGGCUUAACACAUGCAAGUCGAGCGAGCGGCGGACGGGUGAGUAAUGUCUGGGAACCUGCCUGAUGGAGGGGGAUAACUCCUGGAAACGGUAGCUAAUACCGCAUACCAUCAGAUGUGCCCAGAUGGGAUUAUCUAGUAGGUGGGGUAAUGGCUCACCUAGGCGACGAUCCCUAGCUGGUCUGAGAGGAGGACCAGCCAAACUGGAACUGAGACACGGUCCAGACUCCUACGGGAGGCAGAAGUGGGGAAUAUUGCACAAUGGGCGCAAGCCUGAUGCAGCCAUGCCGCGUGGGUGAAGAAGGCCUUCGGGUUGUAAAGCACUUUCAGCGAGGAGGCGUUACUCGCAGAAGAAGCACCGGCUAACGACGUGCCAGCAGCCGCGGUAAUUC
Molecule: ribosomal RNA, 406 nt
Filed under: uncultured bacterium
Lineage: Bacteria
Description: partial 16S ribosomal RNA
Rfam family: Bacterial small subunit ribosomal RNA
Source: RNAcentral